This 86-nucleotide non-coding RNA is filed under the name unclassified sequences. The record is from RNAcentral.
UAAACACUGCCACCGGGUAGUCAUGCAACAGCAUUUUAUGAACAUCGUUAGGUCUUAGAAGAUGUUCAUAGGGUGCUGAUUUUUCU